This 301-nucleotide ribosomal RNA is filed under the name uncultured bacterium. RNAcentral describes it as "partial 16S ribosomal RNA". It matches the Rfam family "Bacterial small subunit ribosomal RNA", at positions 509 to 809 of the family's 1533-position model. The record is from RNAcentral.
CAGCCGCCGCGGUAAUACGUAGGUGGCAAGCGUUGUCCGGAAUUAUUGGGCGUAAAGGGCUCGCAGGCGGUUUCUUAAGUCUGAUGUGAAAGCCCCCGGCUCAACCUGGGAGGGUCAUUGGAAACUGGGAAACUUGAGUGCAGAAGAGGAGAGUGGAAUUCCACGUGUAGCGGUGAAAUGCGUAGAGAUGUGGAGGAACACCAGUGGCGAAGGCGACUCUCUGGUCUGUAACUGACGCUGAGGAGCGAAAGCGUGGGGAGCGAACAGGAUUAGAUACCCCUGUAGUCCCUGUCUCUUAUAA